GCCCUGUGAUAGCUCAGUCGGUAGGGCAUGAGACUCUUAAUCCCAGGGUCAAUGUGGGUCAUUGCCCCGCACUGGGCA
This is a non-coding RNA of Podarcis lilfordi (Lilford's wall lizard), 78 nucleotides long. The record is from the annotation of a GenBank genome assembly. Lineage: Eukaryota; Metazoa; Chordata; Lepidosauria; Squamata; Lacertidae.